Non-coding RNA from Bombyx mori (domestic silkworm), 100 nucleotides. The record is from RefSeq and is marked provisional. Lineage: Eukaryota; Metazoa; Arthropoda; Insecta; Lepidoptera; Bombycidae.
CGAUGGGUAAAUAUUUGUUAAUCCUCCUCCGUGCGUCACGAUCCUCAGUGCUGAGGGUCGUGACCUUUACGGAGCAGUUUUGUUGGGUCUAUGUUCCUCA